This is an RNA transcript of Lontra canadensis (Northern American river otter), 2187 nucleotides long. It is a transcript of the gene named chloride channel CLIC like 1, with no coding region annotated. The record is from RefSeq and is a predicted model, not a curated record. The transcript is spliced from 12 exons. NCBI's taxonomy places the organism in Eukaryota, Metazoa, Chordata, Mammalia, Carnivora, Mustelidae.
GCUGUUUUCCCAGAUCUCCAUUCCCACGUGGCAACUUCCUGACACACAGUGACACUCCUGGCUUUCCAGUGGACCAUAUCACCGUCUUCUUGAUACUGGGUGCCUUCAUGCAGGAUGCUGUAUUCUCUGCUCCUUUGUGAGUGUCUGUGGCUAAUAACCGGUUAUGCUCAUGAUGAUGACUGGAUUGACCCCACAGACAUGCUUAACUAUGAUGCUGCUUCAGGAACAAUGAGAAAAUCUCAGGUAAAAUAUGGUGUAUCAGAGAAAAAAGAAGUCAGUCCCGACUUGUCACAUGCUGAUGAAUUGUUGGAAUGUUAUAGCAAACUUGAUUCUUUAACUCAUAAGAUUGAUGAGUGUGAGAAGAAGAAGAAGGAAGACUAUGAAAGUCAAAGCAAUCCUGUUUUUAGGAGAUACUUACAUAAGAUUUUGAUCGAAGCCAGAAAGCUUGGACUUCCUGAAGAAAACAAAGAUGAUAUGCAUUAUGAUGCUGAGAUUAUUCUAAAAAGACAAACCUUGUUAGAAAUACAGAAGUUUCUCAGUGGAGAGGAUUGGAAACCGGGAGCCUUGGAUGAUGCACUAAGUGAUAUUUUAAUUAAUUUUAAGUUUCAUGAUUUUGAAACAUGGAAGUGGCGAUUUGAAGACUCCUUUGGAGUGGAUCCAUAUAAUGUGUUGAUGGUGCUUCUCUGUCUGCUCUGUAUCGUGGGAUUAGUAGCUACCGAGCUGUGGACGUAUGUGCAUUGGUACACCCAGCUGAGACGUGUGUUAUUCAUCAGUUUCCUCGUCAGUUUGGGAUGGAAUUGGAUGUAUUUAUAUAAGCUCGCGUUCGCACAGCAUCAGGCCGAGGUUGCCAAGCUGGAGCCGUUAAACAAUGUGUGUGCCGAGAAGAUGGACUGGAUUGGAAGCCUCUGGGAAUUGUUAAGAAGCUCAUGGACCUAUAAGGAUGACCCAUGCCAAAAAUACUAUGAACUCUUAUUAGUCAACCCUAUUUGGUUGGUCCCGCCAACAAAGGCACUGGCAGUUACAUUCACCAACUUUGUCACAGAGCCAUUGAAAUACGUUGGGAAGGGAGCUGGUGAAUUUAUUAAAGAGUUCAUGAAGGAGAUUCCAGUAUUACUUCACAUUCCAGUGCUGAUCAUUAUGGCAUUAGCUGUCCUGAGUUUCUGCUAUGGUGCUGGAAAAUCAGUUAAUAUGCUGAGACAUAUAGGUGGUCCUGAGAGAGAACCACCCCGGGCCCUUAAGCCAGGUGAUAGAGGACGGCUGCAGGAAGUUGAUUAUAGACCCCAUGGUGGAGCAGGUGAUGCAGAUUUCCCUUAUAGAGGCCACUUCGGCCCCUUUGAGCAAGGCCCUUAUGACAGAACAUAUGAGGGUAGAAGAGAUGGUAUGAGAGAGAGAGAUGUUGACUUGAGGCCUAGGACUGGCAACAAGAGCCCCGAAGUGCUCCGGCCAUGUGAUGUACCCCAGGCAGAGGCGAGAGAGCAUCCCAAGGCCGUACCCUGUCAUAAAUUACCUAUUUUGGAUACAAAGCUCAAGGAAUUUGGUGGAAUCCAGGGAGAAAGCACACCGCCAGAAAGCAGUACUGACAGUAGCCAGUCUACUAGGCCUGUCUCUGGCCCAGACACAUCAGAGAAGGUGGAAGGUUCACCUGCAGAGGAAAAGGCCCAGCUCAGAACUGAUGCCAGAGGCAGCCCAGAGGAAGGCAGUGUGUCUUGCCCGGCCAGCUGUGGAAAGGAUCUGGAUACUGGCCCACGUGGCUAGAGGAGCACAGACUCGGCCCAUCACUCGGAGGUCAUCAUUGGGUUUUGUAAAGUAUACUCUUCACAACUAUUUGCUCUUCUCUACAAAUAUUCUGACAUUUACUACUCCACAGAUAUCCGUUUGGGGAUGCGGUCCACUUUGACAGCUAGCGAGGCAACAUACCACUGCUGUUGAAUGAUGACAGCAAUUUAGGGAAGACACUAAAGCAGACUGAACAGAUCAAGGCCAGUUUAUAACUUGGGGAAAUAGACUUGUUUCUUGUCCAGCCCAUAUCUGUCAUUAGAAUCAAGGAUUUUAGCAACAGGUUUUAAGAAAAUCAGAAUGGGGUUGACAGCUUUUUAAAAGCAGUGUUUAAAUGGAAUAGAUAAUGUUGAAUGUUUACAGGGUCUAAGAACUAUGGUAUAUGCAAAAUAAACACUUAUUUUUACAUUA